Acanthosepion pharaonis is the source of this 93-nucleotide non-coding RNA. The record is from the annotation of a GenBank genome assembly. Lineage: Eukaryota; Metazoa; Mollusca; Cephalopoda; Sepiida; Sepiidae.
AUGUUGAAACACUGGUUCUCAUGCUAUCACCGUAGUUAAGCAACAAUGAGCCUGGUCAGUACCUUGAUGGGUAACCAUUUGAGAAUACCAAGU